Molecule: long non-coding RNA, 319 nt
Organism: Gadus morhua (Atlantic cod)
Lineage: Eukaryota; Metazoa; Chordata; Actinopteri; Gadiformes; Gadidae
Exons: 3
Source: RefSeq, a predicted model, not a curated record
CGGCAGCCUGUAUGCCCUUGCGGCACAUUGCUGUCACCCACAGGACAAAACAUACUCAGAAGACUUUAUUUGCCAUGACAUGUAAACAUGUUUGGAAUUUGUUUUGGUACAGUGGAGUUUACAAGAGGACAGGACAAGACAGUGCAAAACCAACAUAAAUAGUGCAAAAUGAACAAAACUGAAGACCAGGAACUGUAACCUGGGAACCUGGAAGAUGAUGUUGUCCUGAAGGACACAAUUCAGGCAGCAGCAUGGUGCCAGUUACAGUCUUUCAAGGACAGCGUUUCUCUCCCAGAGGUCAUUGGGAUGGAAGGUUGGG